This 28-nucleotide small RNA is filed under the name Bombyx mori (domestic silkworm). RNAcentral describes it as "ovarian small RNA-21773". The record is from RNAcentral. Lineage: Eukaryota; Metazoa; Arthropoda; Insecta; Lepidoptera; Bombycidae.
UAGAACAAUAUGCGGCUUUCAUUAAUCG